AGUGCGGAAUGGAGGCGGCGGAGGAAGGCUGUGAGGGGCGCCCAGCCGUGUGCCUUGGCCUUUCCUCCCCACGCCCCGCUUGCCUCCCAGCUUUUCCCUGGGAGUCGCAACGCCAUUCGUCCCCCCUCUCCUCCCCGCGCUGCCAGACUCACUCGGAGCCACCAACGACCUGGGAGGUGAUGGCAAGCAGCGGGUUGGAAGCCUCGCUGGCAGCUCCAGACUUAGGGAUCCGAGCUGCUUUGGGAAGAAUGGAGAGCUGAGGGCAUGAGGGUCGUCCACCUCCUGGCUGAAAGGGGGCGUCUUAUCUUUCCCCCCAGCACAGGUGUUGGUUAGGCUGGGGAUAUCCACGCUGGAUUGGAUGGUCCCGGGGCUCCCGUGUGAGCUCAGAAGGGAUCUUUUAUCUCGGGAAAACGUGUCCCAUUCGGAGCUGGGGAUGCCCUCUAGGCUGGGUCCUGCUUCUUCAAGACCCAGAGCAGCCCUGCGGCCCUCCUACCCGCCAUGUGCCCGAGGCUGUUCACCGGCAAACUCGCUGGGCCGACUGCGCCCCAGAGCCGCUGUCCAAAUGCUGAAUCUGGCCUCCCCUGGGCUGGCUCCCGACGUCCCGCUGCCUAUGGCUCCGCGUUUCCCUCAGGGGCAGGCAAGGGGUUCUGGGACGCACAACGCGGAGGCCCCAGGAAACUUUGGGGCUCCAAGAUGACAUUGGAAAGCUUCAGGAUAGGGGGCGAUCGGUCGAAGGGAGACAGAAGCCAAGAGAGCAGGCAGAGCAGCGCGCCUGGCACGCCGAACCACGCGCCCUUGAUGACUCGCCCCGGGUCCCCUCCGCCCGCCCGUGUGUGUUUCUCCCACUUCCACAGUAGGGGAGGUCCCUAGGCUGAACUUGUCAGCGGGUCUCACCAUUCAUCACGAGCCAGACAGACAGGCCAAGUUCAUGAGCAAUACUGUUAACCCCUUGCAAGCCAAGCACCUCUCACAGGAGGAAGCCUCCUGGCCAGGGAGCGUUCUCUAAGGUUCCAGAGGCACUGCCUCCCAGGAACGUGGCAGCCACCGCUCCUUUCUUCUUUUCGGCUCGUCUCCUAACCAUUUAUUCCGUCAUUUUAUUUACACUUUUGGUUUCCACAGUCUUUCAAGUUCCUUCUCUUCUAAGUUAGUUUGAUACCAGUAUAACUGACUGCCUUUUAAAUGUCUUCUUUUCCUACGUUGUGGCUGUGUUCAUUGUGGAAACAUUAGAAAAUUUUGAAAAAAUGAAAUAAAAUAAUAAUUGGCCC
Molecule: long non-coding RNA, 1265 nt
Organism: Homo sapiens (human)
Lineage: Eukaryota; Metazoa; Chordata; Mammalia; Primates; Hominidae
Source: Ensembl